This is a long non-coding RNA of Trichomycterus rosablanca, 776 nucleotides long. RefSeq lists it as uncharacterized. NCBI's taxonomy places the organism in Eukaryota, Metazoa, Chordata, Actinopteri, Siluriformes, Trichomycteridae. The record is from RefSeq and is a predicted model, not a curated record. The transcript is spliced from 7 exons.
AGUGUGAUCCAAGCCAAUAUAAGGUUCUUUUGGGUGUCAUAAAUGAACAUAAUCACUGGACUAUUGCUGCCAUUUAUCCAUCUAAAAAGAAAACAUUGUUUUUGGAUCCCCUGGGAGAGUCCCAAAAAAAAGUAAACAAGUGCCUGGAAACCACAAGAGCCUUUAUGAGGAAUAGAGGAUGCAAAGUUUCAAGGUGGACGUGUGACACUGUUCCUCACCCAAUGCAACGUGAUGGCACAUCUUGUGGUGUUUUUGUAUGCAAGUUUGCAGAACAAAUCCUGAUAGAACAGCCUAUCAGCUUCUCAAAUGCAGAAAAGGCAGUUAACCUCUUUAGGAAAAAAAUUGCAGUGACCUUAAUACAGGAAUCAGAAGAUUUGAGUGAUCUUUGUCGAUUCUGUGGGGAAGACAUCAACCUAAGUGAUCCAGGGCUGACACCUGCAUGGAUUGCCUGUGAUGGAUGUGACAGAUGGUACCACCAGUCAUGUGUUGGCAACCCACCAGUAGAUGAAGAUUUUUACUGUCCUGCAUGCACUGAAGAUUAGACCAAGUAACUGCUUUAUCCUGGUCAUGGCCGUGGUGGAUUCAGAACUGUUCCUGGGGAAAUUGGACGUACGGCAGGAGUGCACUGUGGAUGGGAUGCUAGUCAUUCCCAGGGCACCAUCCACAAAUAAAUUUGCACAUUUCAGAUUUUAUUUAAUUUAGAUUUUAAAGAAUUAUUUUUAUUGAGUUAUAAAUAUGUUAUUUUUUCAAGUAUUUCAGUUUUACUUUGCAGUGAG